AAGACUAUACUUUCAGGGAUCAUUUCUAUAGUAUGUUAAUGGUAUUUAUAUACUUUUCCUAUAUUUUGAAGCUACUCUCUGCCCUGAUCCAGC
Erinaceus europaeus (western European hedgehog) is the source of this 93-nucleotide small nucleolar RNA. Its record names the gene U3. It matches the Rfam family "Small nucleolar RNA U3". Rfam says of the family: Small nucleolar RNAs (snoRNAs) are involved in the processing and modification of rRNA in the nucleolus. There are two main classes of snoRNAs: the box C/D class, and the box H/ACA class. NCBI's taxonomy places the organism in Eukaryota, Metazoa, Chordata, Mammalia, Eulipotyphla, Erinaceidae. The record is from Ensembl.